GCUCACUCCUGAAUGGGACAACAAAUGGCUCAUCCAAUAAACUGUGGUCUGGAUCAAUAGCUUCCUGAGUGCAUCAAUUGGACCAUCAUCCUGCCUGCCUAGGAUGCCUUCCCUCACUCACUCCACUCAAGAUGUAGGUCUUGUGAUGCCAACCACAUCAUCUGGGAACACAUGUUGUGCACAAAGAGCACUGGCUCCACUGUCACUUUCCGAAAAUUAAAUCCUCCAGCAGACCCACCGGUAGAAGCGGGCUGAGCAGCAGAGUAUACCUGGUCUAUAUCAGCCAUGUUAGACUAAGGACCAACUGGCAGUACUUCACCUUCAAAGACCGACAACCAUACUGAUCCAGACAGUCAAGAAAAUAUGUAAUGGCAAGGACUGCCACUAUCAGGUGUGUAUGGGAGAACGCCGAUCCAAAGGCUACACCGACAGCAAGUGCUGGGUGACUCCCAACUCAAGCUCAAGCUCAAGCUCAAGGUCCAACGAAAGAUCUCUAAAAAAAAAAAAAAAAAGCGCCAAAACACACAAAAAUGUCGAGAUGGAAAGCACAGCCAAACUACAUUAUGUUACAAUUUCUGAAUACGAAAAAUUUUCGCUUUUCAGCCAAAUAAAGAAAACAGAUUCAUUGUCGUAUAAAGAUUUCGGUUUUCUAUUUUGGAACCGUUAUUUUUUUCCUUUGAAAAUACGAAUAGACUAAAUUUUAUGGAAUAUUGUUACUUGGGUCAUGUUUUUCAUAUUUUUUAAAUGUUAUAUCAAGCACCAAAACAAUCCUAGGCGUACUAAUAAAAAAAAAAAAGUUAUAUAUUACGCAGUGACAUUAAUGUUACUUUUUCGAUAAACCAAAACAAAGGUAGACUCGAUUCUAUUGUGGAUUGAAACUUGCUUUACUAUGUUGAUAACAAAUCAGAUAUCAGGACAAUGUCAACUCCAUUAAUAAAGGAGAAAUAU
This is a long non-coding RNA of Portunus trituberculatus (swimming crab), 948 nucleotides long. RefSeq lists it as uncharacterized. The record is from RefSeq and is a predicted model, not a curated record. Lineage: Eukaryota; Metazoa; Arthropoda; Malacostraca; Decapoda; Portunidae. The transcript is spliced from 4 exons.